Molecule: long non-coding RNA, 1380 nt
Filed under: Coturnix japonica (Japanese quail)
Lineage: Eukaryota; Metazoa; Chordata; Aves; Galliformes; Phasianidae
Description: lncRNA (ENSCJPG00005009895.1)
Source: RNAcentral
CAUCUUAAUUGUGUUGUGUAAUAUAUCCUUUAAAGUUAUAUAAAUAACUUCAUAUUUUCAUUUUUCUUCCAGAAUCUGCUUUCCUCAGAGUAUCGAUUGAACAGGACUCUAAAUGAAAAGGAGAAAGCCUUUAAUUUUUUUCAUGAACUGUGUGGUUUUGGGUUUUGACUUACAAAUCAUCUAUAUCAUGCUCUAAAAACAGAAUAUUAACUUCUUCAUAACCUUUUCAGGUUUCUCAGUAGUAUAGCACAAGCACGGUUUGGGCAAUUUGUUGUUAAAAUUCUCUGUGCGAGGAUCUUGAUUUGUACCUUGCAAAGGGAGAAGGAAACUACAUCUCCCGGUGGUUUUGGCUGCAACUGUGAACCCUGUGUUUUAACAGCUCAGACCUUCAAAGAUCAAGUAAGAUCUCCACAAAUCCUGGCUGCCUGUCAAGAACACACUUUGAAAUUACUGGAUUGCCAUAUAGAAGAAACCAGUAGAGAAUCCACUUUUACAGCUCAGCAUCCAGCCGUCCUCACAUUUGAAAGGUGUCAGCUGGCCGUUAUUGCUACAGUGGUGUUAUGGACUGAUGCAUCUCUAUAGACCUGGACAACAUUCAUCUUACAUCCUGACAGGAGAAGAUUCUCAUAGACUGGUGUGUGAUCACACACUUAACACUUCUGCUGAGAUCUUGAUGUUAAAGUGUGAAGAAAUACUUAUAAAGUGGAAAAUCACCUUUUCUAGUUGCUUAUGUCCUUCAUCUGCCGUAGAAGAACAGUCCAGCCUGAGCUGAACAUUUGACUCUGAAGUCAUCUAAAGGUCAGUUAAAGGUCAGGCUCCUCAGAUACUUGUGAUCUUGCGACUAUUCAGACUACUGAUUCCAAAGCUGGUCUUUGUGGUGCUAAAGAACUUGGGCUAGUGAGAGAUAUGUUUAAAAGUCUGGGUUCCCUCUUCUUGCAAGCAUUCAGUCCAGUGUAGAUGAACUGGAGCAAGGAGUGUAGAUAAAGCACGUAUAGGUGCAUAACCCACACAGCCAGUCUCUUGGAUUACUUAUUUAAGAACCUGUCUCAGAGAGAUAUUAUUUAUGAUAGGUAGCAAUGCACAGGCAACUUUAUUGAAAUGCAGAUUUUGAUUAUUUUUUCCCUUGAUUUUGCCUUUACCAAGAAUUUGUUCUCUUCUGAGUAUUUAUUUUUGACAUAGAUAAAAUCACCUAGUUGAUAUAAUUGUUACAAAUAUUGUGGUGGAUGAAUUUUUCAAGGAGUUUUGUCUUAUGUACAAUAUUUAACAGAUUUCAUUUUUCAUCAAGGCUUUUAGGGAAAAUCGAUAUUUUCAAGCAGGCAAAAUGAGCAGAAAUCAUGACACUUGCUUAAAAUAAGUAAAUAAAUAAAGACUACGAAAUCA